Molecule: long non-coding RNA, 2593 nt
Filed under: Coffea arabica (coffee)
Lineage: Eukaryota; Viridiplantae; Streptophyta; Magnoliopsida; Gentianales; Rubiaceae
Description: long non-coding RNA (CARA_LNC003606)
Source: RNAcentral
CAGCCUGUCAAUGCUCUUGGAGCUGCCAUCGCCGUCCUUGGAACCUUCUUGUAUUCACAGGUAAUGAUUGAUUUUUGCUUGUGUGUCACCAAAUGGUAGUUUUCAUUUACUUGAUAUCUCUAUCAAGUAGCUGACUUCAGGGUGUGUUUCUGGAUGACUUUUGUGUUGUCCAUAUGUGUAGGUCAAACUUUCUUGUAAUAAAUUGCACUUGGCCCCUUGAGAUUUAUGGAUUUGUUUCGAUACCUUGUAAAAAAGUCAUGUUCUUGAUUGUUAAGUUUAAGAAAUAUCAAUAAUCUUGAGAAGGAUGCAAGUACUUGGCAACUGAGAGCAUGAUUGUUCUGGGAUGCUUCUAGGACUAAGAGUUCAAUAUAACACUCAAGUAAAUAAAUCAAGAGAGAGAGGAGAAAGAAAUUCCAAAACACCAGGGUAAUUACUAUCCUGGUUGAUUUUAAAUAUCAUGGUUGUAUGCUUCUUUGUUUUUCCUCAUUGUGCUCUUUUGCUUUUCUUUUUCCCCUCUUUUACAUGCUUUACUUUAUUUCUUUGUCUGGUAUAUUUCUUACUUUUAGCAUACAUGAAAGUCAUGUUAACUGUGUUUUGUUGCAAGAAUAGUUGACAUAAAUUUUACGUCCAUGCUCCUGAUAUUGGUGUUGCAUUGCCGGGAUGAUGAAAGAAAAGUUUGUAGCUAUGUUCGUGUUUGAAGUAGUAGAAUACCAUCAUUUCACUAAUACUUGUGCAUGUCACCAAACAUAGUUUUGCUUCUUUCAACUAAAACAGUCUAUUCUUCUUUAUUUGAAGUGAUGCUGUUGUUUGCUUUGAACAACUGCCUGUAUUGAGCAACUUUUAACAACAGCUGACUUUUUAUCAGUCUGUUGGCUAUCAGUAAUUAUGAUGAUUUGUGUAGCAAUUAAUAGACUUAGCACCCAUUUUGCUGAUAAACCUUAGAAAUGAUAAAUGGGCAGAGAAAGAACUGCUUCUUAGAAUGAUUGCUUCUACUUCCUGUCACAAGUGUGCUGUUUAGUAUGUUGUACUGUUUUUAGACCCCUGCUGCCUGCUGCAGUAUUCUUUGUUCUAUUCCUUACAGACUUGUUUUCACGUCUGACAGGCAAAGCAAUGAGGAGCAACUUUUGAGUCCAACCAGGCAGCUUAACUUACAGUGGUGGUGAUUUCAAGUUUUGUUCUUCUUAAGGUGUUGAUAUGGCUUUCUUAUUGAGUUCCAUGAAGAAUGAGAACAAUCAGAUGAGCCAGUAGCUUUACAUGUAGAUAACAAUAAUUGUGAACUAAGAUAAUUUAAAAUCUUAUACAGGUUAAUUAGGCAGGUAAUCCCUGUUAUCUUGCAUGUUGGGGGAGAAUCAAGAACAGCACGAAUAAAUAGUGGCAACAACUGUGCCCAUUUAAGGGACGAAAAUGUUGAUGAUUUGGAUCAUAUGCAGUCCAUUUCAGCCAUUAAAACCGGACCUAGUUUGUAUUCAUAGUACUAGUAUUGACAAUGGUUGUCUAUAGCUCUUUGGAAUUUAUGAUUCAGAGGGAACUAUGCUUUGAUUGCCUGUCAACUUAAUUAGUCAAAAUCACCAAAAUUUUGGAUGUGCUGCUUCUUUUGGCUCUCAUUUGGUGUUGGGCAUGACUCAAAAAGAUAGGUGCAAAAAUAUUGGUGGCAUGUUUUUGUCUGCUCGAUGUGCCAUGGUCAUUGUUUCCUUCAAAAGCAUCAAGUUAUUUUCAUUUGGAAAAAAAAUUUGCCCUCUGCUUCCAGGUACUCAAGGCAAAUUGCUCCUUGUAUGUUUUACAAAGCCCGGUUUUUACAUUGAUUAUCAUCUUCAAUCCAAAAUACAAGUCUUGGAUGGUUGUCAACAAAACUGUGGCAAGAAAAUCUUGUAGUCUCAUAACCUAUGGCUGACUAGGUUGUGCUUGUGCCAUUAAGUUUAAAACAAAGGCUCAAUGAACACAGGACACCACGAGGGCACGGAACCUGGGGUAAAAGUUGGCAUUAGCUGUGAGUGAGGCCGACAAUUGUUACGUCUCAGGUGAGCUUAACUAGGUUUAGUUCAAGGUACAGAUGUCCUUCAACUUCUUUUUACUUGUAGCUAAGGUGGAUUUAUAUGUGUUUAUAAGUACGCUGAGCUGAGAUUUGGAUUAAAAAACAAUCCUUAAUAAUUUGAUCAAGUGUAAUGAAUGGAAGACCAAAGGUUCAAUUAAAAAAUGAUUGUACAAAAGGUUUAAUCCUGAUUAGUUUUCUUGAUGAAGUUUAUACUUAAAAUCUGUACCUUUCCGCUGGCAUGGUGUCUACAGACGGUCAUGCUCUUUUUCCAAUCGGAAGAAACGUUACGAGCUUGAUUCCUUUGUUGAUGAAGGCCACCGAUGGAAUGCAGACAAAAUCAUUUGCAAGAUUCUACAUGGUAUGGACGAAAGCUAACGGAGAUGCCGGGCCAUGGAGGUUCUUUUUCUCGUAAUAAAUCGAUUCGGGGUGGUUCCAAUUCAGCAAUGAGAACUGAAAGGGCCGGAGUUGGUUGGUUGUUUGGCGGUGCCUAUGUUUUUGUGUAGAGUUUCAUUUCAGAUUUUUAGUUAUCCUCUUUCUGUGAACAAGAUUUGUCAGUUUUAU